This is a long non-coding RNA of Bombus pyrosoma, 767 nucleotides long. RefSeq lists it as uncharacterized. Lineage: Eukaryota; Metazoa; Arthropoda; Insecta; Hymenoptera; Apidae. The transcript is spliced from 2 exons. The record is from RefSeq and is a predicted model, not a curated record.
GUAUGUAUAAAUAUAAGGGUAAACUAAAUUUACAAUAGCAUCAGUUAUAUAAUACGAUUUUUAUUUUUCUAUAUGUAUUAAUAAUAUGUACAAUUGUAGAAAUAUGUAAAAAUAUAUAAAAGAUUUUUGGAUUGUUCUGUAACAUUAGCUUUGCUAACUGCAUCAUUGCAUGUUUCGACGUCAAGAUUUGGUGUUAUUGAAUUGGUCAUAACAUUAUGAUUUGUAGUACUUUUAUUUUUAUUUUGAAUAGAUCUUGUUAACAUUCUAUGGCAUUUUAUUAAGGUUUUAUAAAUAAGGUUUUAUAAACUUUUACUAUUUACUUCCUGAAAAUCUUUUUCUUUCAUAAACUUCCUGUUUCUGAAUGUAAAAUAUAAUUUUUUUUGUUAUUAACAUAAUUUCAAUCAAAUACUAUUUUAUCCCAAAAUUUUAUUCUAAUGUAAGUGUCUGUUUAAACUUUCAUUUGAAAGUAACUCUAUGUAAGAUGUAGAUCCGUGUUUAUCAACUUUGUUCAUUAUCUCUAGCAAAUUUUGUAAUAAAAGGGCAGGAAGUUUCACAAUUGGCACACAUUCCAUAUUAUCUACAAAAAGAUUUGAAAACUUUAUAUUACACAUUACUUAUACAUUAUUCAUAUCAUUAAAAUUAUUGUAGCAUAUGUUGAAACAAGAGAUAAUAUGUAUUUUUAAGUCACUUAUAAUUUUAUUACUUUCAGUCUUAGUUUAAGUUGGCUAUGUAGUAUUGACAAUAAACUGAAUGUGUAUUUGUUUCUA